RNAcentral lists this unclassified non-coding RNA (997 nucleotides) under Hevea brasiliensis (rubber tree). The record is from RNAcentral. Lineage: Eukaryota; Viridiplantae; Streptophyta; Magnoliopsida; Malpighiales; Euphorbiaceae.
GCUUACUGCGGCGUGGGCUACCAGGGAAUGCAGAAGAACCCUGGCGCCAAAACUAUCGAAGGUGAUCUCGAAGAAGCUCUAUUUCACUCUGGUGCCGUCCCGGAACAAGACCGGGGCAACCCCAAGCGGUAUGACUGGGCUCGCUCGGCUCGUACUGAUAAGGGCGUGAGCGCCGUGGGACAGGUGGUCUCCGGCCGCUUCUACAUUGACCCACCUGGGCUGGUUGAACGCUUAAAUUCGAAUCUUGCGUCACAGAUUAGAAUCUUCGGUUACAAGCGAGUGACGGCGUCGUUUAAUGCCAAGAAGUUUUGUGAUCGUAGGAGGUAUGUGUAUCUGAUUCCUGUUUUUGCUCUUGAUCCAUGUUCGCAUCCUGANUGUGUUGGCUAGUUUGGGGUCUGAUAAUGAGCUUGUUAAGUGCUUAGAGUGUUCAGAGAGAGGGCGUAAGGUUGUUGGCGCAGUGGGUAAACGAAGUUUUGAAUUAAAAUCUGUGGUUUCUCAAACAGACAUUUCAUCGAAUGGUGAUGACCGUGUUGUGAAACCUGAAAUUAUGGACGAUAUUAGUAUGUCUACGGAUAAUGCUGAUUGUGAUAAUACAAACGCUGAAUUCUUAAAAGAAGCUAAGGUCCCUGGAAAUGUGGAUGCUGAAACACGGUGUGCAAUACCUGAAUCUGGCAUUUUGUCGAAUGAUUUAGAUGCUAAAACGGAGCCUGAUAGUAGAGAAGAGAUUAUGGAGUCUGUGGACAAUAACAAUAAUGGGAAUACAGAAACGGAAAUUAUUGAAAAGGAUCAGAAGGUUAUUGUCAGUGAAGAGAAAGUUAACGGAGACAAGCAAGUUAUGAUAGGAAGUGGGUUUUGUUAUGGAGAGAAUGAGAAAGAGAGAUUCAAUCGAAUAUUGAAGUAUUAUGUGGGGAGUCACAACUUUCAUAAUUUUACCACAAGAACUAAGGCUGAAGACCCUUCUGCUCGGCGGUACAUUAUUUCCUUCGAUGCAAAGACC